This 492-nucleotide ribosomal RNA is filed under the name uncultured bacterium. RNAcentral's name for it is "partial 16S ribosomal RNA". It matches the Rfam family "Bacterial small subunit ribosomal RNA", at positions 29 to 507 of the family's 1533-position model. The record is from RNAcentral.
AGUGAACGCUGGCGGUAGGCCUAACACAUGCAAGUCGAACGGCAGCACAGUAAGAGCUUGCUCUUACGGGUGGCGAGUGGCGGACGGGUGAGGAAUACAUCGGAAUCUACUUUUUCGUGGGGGAUAACGUAGGGAAACUUACGCUAAUACCGCAUACGACCUACGGGUGAAAGCAGGGGAUCUUCGGACCUUGCGCGAUUGAAUGAGCCGAUGUCGGAUUAGCUAGUUGGCGGGGUAAAGGCCCACCAAGGCGACGAUCCGUAGCUGGUCUGAGAGGAUGAUUAGCCACACUGGAACUGAGACACGGUCCAGACUCCUACGGGAGGCAGCAGUGGGGAAUAUUGGACAAUGGGCGCAAGCCUGAUCCAGCCAUACCGCGUGGGUGAAGAAGGCCUUCGGGUUGUAAAGACCUUUUGUUGGGAAAGAAAAGCAGCAGGUUAAUACCCCGCUGUUCUGACGGUACCCAAAGAAUAAGCACCGGCUAACUUCGUG